This 493-nucleotide ribosomal RNA is filed under the name uncultured bacterium. RNAcentral describes it as "bacterial SSU rRNA". It matches the Rfam family "Bacterial small subunit ribosomal RNA", at positions 24 to 518 of the family's 1533-position model. The record is from RNAcentral.
UCAGGACGAACGCUGGCGGCGUGCCUAACACAUGCAAGUCGAACGGAGUAUUUUCUUAAUCCUUCGGGAAGCGGAGAUUAACUUAGUGGCGGACGGGUGAGUAACGCGUGAGCAACCUGCCUCAGAGAGGGGGAUAACGUUCUGAAAAGAACGCUAAUACCGCAUAACAUUACGGUGUCGCAUGGCACUGUAAAUCAAAGGAGCAAUCCGCUUUGAGAUGGGCUCGCGUCCGAUUAGGUAGUUGGUGGGGUAACAGCCUACCAAGCCGACGAUCGGUAGCCGGACUGAGAGGUUGAACGGCCACAUUGGGACUGAGACACGGCCCAGACUCCUACGGGAGGCAGCAGUGGGGGAUAUUGCACAAUGGGCGAAAGCCUGAUGCAGCAACGCCGCGUGAGGGAAGACGGUUUUCGGAUUGUAAACCUCUGUCCUUGGUGACGAUAAUGACGGUAGCCGAGGAGGAAGCCACGGCUAACUACGUGCCAGCCGCAGC